CCUACGGGGGGCUGCAGUGGGGAAUAUUGGACAAUGGGGGCAACCCUGAUCCAGCCAUGCCGCGUGUAUGAAGAAGGCCCUCGGGUUGUAAAGCACUUUCAGUGAGGAAGAACGCCUGGUGGUUAAUACCCAUCAGGAAAGACAUCACUCACAGAAGAAGCACCGGCUAACUCCGUGCCAGCAGCCGCGGUAAUACGGAGGGUGCGAGCGUUAAUCGGAAUUACUGGGCGUAAAGCGCGCGUAGGUGGCUUGAUAAGCCGGUUGUGAAAGCCCCGGGCUCAACCUGGGAACGGCAUCCGGAACUGUCAAGCUAGAGUGCAGGAGAGGAAGGUAGAAUUCCCGGUGUAGCGGUGAAAUGCGUAGAGAUCGGGAGGAAUACCAGUGGCGAAGGCGGCCUUCUGGACUGACACUGACACUGAGGUGCGAAAGCGUGGGUAGCAAACAGGAUUAGAUACCCGUGUAGUC
Molecule: ribosomal RNA, 465 nt
Filed under: Vreelandella stevensii
Lineage: Bacteria; Pseudomonadati; Pseudomonadota; Gammaproteobacteria; Oceanospirillales; Halomonadaceae
Description: partial 16S ribosomal RNA
Rfam family: Bacterial small subunit ribosomal RNA
Source: RNAcentral